CCAGACUCCUACGGGAGGCAGCAGUGGGGAAUAUUGGGCAAUGGGCGCAAGCCUGACCCAGCAACGCCGCGUGAAGGAAGAAGGCUUUCGGGUUGUAAACUUCUUUUCUGAGGGACGAAGAAAGUGACGGUACCUCAGGAAUAAGCCACGGCUAACUACGUGCCAGCAGCCGCGGUAAUACGUAGGUGGCAAGCGUUAUCCGGAUUUAUUGGGUGUAAAGGGCGUGUAGGCGGGAAAGCAAGUCAGAUGUGAAAACUCAGGGCUCAACCCUGAGCCUGCAUUUGAAACUGUUUUUCUUGAGUGCUGGAGAGGCAGGCGGAAUUCCCGGUGUAGCGGUGGAAUGCGUAGAUAUCGGGAGGAACACCAGUGGCGAAGGCGGCCUGCUGGACAUUAACUGACGCUGAGGCGCGAAAGCGUGGGGAGCAACCAGGAUUAGAUACCCCGGUACG
This 449-nucleotide ribosomal RNA is filed under the name uncultured bacterium. Its description in RNAcentral is "bacterial SSU rRNA". It matches the Rfam family "Bacterial small subunit ribosomal RNA", at positions 331 to 793 of the family's 1533-position model. The record is from RNAcentral.